AACAGGAGGUAAUCGAAAAGAAACAUUCAGGAAUAAAAAAUCCUCUCAGAAAUUAAAUACAUGUCAAUGGAAAGAAAAAUAAAUAAAUAAAAGCGUUGAAAGAUAAUGUUGCAGAAAUUUCCCAGAAAAAUACAGCCAAAAAGUCAAAGAGAGAAAAUUGCAGAGAAAGAAAACAGGAAUUUGAGCAUAAUUUUGGAAGACUUAAGGUCCAACUAGUAGAUAUCCUUCAAAUACUAGGAGGAAACAGUGAGAUAGAUAUAGGGGAGGAAAGUUUCAAAUAAGCUGUUUGGUAUGGUUUCCUGUGUCUCCACCUAAAUAUCAUUUUGAGUCAUAAUAAACAGCACAUGUGAAGGGCAGGGUGAGGUGGAGAUAGUUGAAUCAUGGGGCUGGUUUCUCUCAUACUGAUCUCAUGGUAAUGAAUAAGUCUCAAAAGAUCUGAUGGUUUUAUAAACGGGAGUUCCCCUGCACAAGUUCUCUUUUGCCUUACGCUAUGUGAGACAUGCCUAUGCUUCUCCUUUGCCUUUCACCGUGAUUGUGAGGCCUCCCCAGCCAUGCUGAACUGUGAGUCCAUUAAACCUCUUUCCUUUAUAAAGUACCCAGUUGGGUAUGUCUUUGUUAGCAGCACGAGAAUGAACUAGUAUACUCUCUUCAAGAAAAAAUGUCCACAGUGGAAGGAUAUGAAUUUCUAGAUUGAAAGGACUUAUAAGGAAUCAAAUACAUGAAGCUCAGAGCAGUUGAGACAAAGCAUCCCUAAAAGUUUCCAGGAGAAAAUAUAGUUUACAUAAAAGAGUCAGAAUUUAGAAUGACAUGAGGCUUCUAGAAGCUUCUAGUAAGCAAUGGAGUGAUGCCAUCAAAACCCUGAAUCAAUUUCCACAAACCAAACUAUCAUGCAAGUGUGAAGGUGCAAUAAAGACAUUUUCAGACAUGUAAGAUCUUGUAAAACUUACCUUCCAUGCUCCACUUAUCCAGUGAAGAUAUUGGAAAAUAUGCUCUGUCAUAACUAGGAAGUAAACUUUUUUUCUCAUUCAUAUUUUCAGUGGAAGUCAGGUAUGAUUAUGGAGGCUCUGAUGGGCUCCCUAAACCCCAUUAGGAGUCCUUACCAGGCAGCCACUCAGUGGAGAGUGAAGAAACCCAACUUAAGCUUGUUUGAGAAAGAGGAAAAUCUGUUGCUGCAUGCAUCUGGAAAGUCCAGGGGAUAUGAGCAUCAGGUGUGGUUUGAUCCAGGUGCUCAAAUAACAACAUUAAACUCACUUCCCAUCCUUCUUCUUCUCUUUCAACAUUUCAGCUCUUCUUUUCUCCUGAUUGCCUUCAUUCUCAGGGAAAGAUUAUCCACAUGGUAGCUUCUGGCUCUCAUGCCUGUCUGAGACCAUCCUGUUACUCCCAGUAAUGCUAGGAGUGGCUGCUUCUCAGAACAUUGGUGUGCUCCUGGGAUAAUUGCCUUUCUGGAAAUCACAUUGUAGCUUAUUCAGAAGCACUUUUAAUAGAGAUCUUUGGAAUGACCCUGGGUAGAACUUUAUCAAAACCUGGAGCAUAUCAGCAAUACCUGGAGAUUCUAUCAAAAACAGCAAGGCCAGCACAGUGGGUAAGAAUGGACUGUGGACAGGAACAGAGGAGGAAUCUCAGUCAAAUGAAUUGCUGGGGGGAGGAAAAUUAUAUGCUUUGAGCACUUCUUUUUUUGAUGGGCAUUUCAUACACAGAGGCAGUUAAAAGUAUGUGCUCUGCAAUCAUAGCCCUGCUAGGGAUAUAUCAGGCCCUUGAUCUUGAGUGCUUCUUAAACUUUAAAGUGCUGGGAAUGAAGGGAGGAUCUUGUUAAAGGGCAGAUUCUGUUUCAGUAGGUCGGGGGGCGCUUGAGACUCUGCAUCUCUAACCAGCUCCCAGGGGAUGCAGAUGCAGAUGCUGCAGUGCAUAGAACAUGCUUUGAGUACCAAAGACUUAACUUUUCUGGGCUUUAGUUGCCUCACAUGUAAAAUGUGGAUAUCAGUGCCUUCAUCAUAACAUCAUAGAGAGAAUUAAAUAAGAAUGUAAAGAACUUGGCCAGGUGCAGUGGCUCAAGCCUGUAAUCCCAGCACUUUGGGAGGCCAAGGCAGGCGGAUCACCUGAAGUUGGGAGUUCACGACCAGCCUGACCAACAUGGUGAAACCCCGUCUCUACUAAAAAUAUAAAAUUAGCUGGGUGUGGUGGUGCAUGCCUGUAAUCCUAGAUACUUGGGGAGGCUGAGGCAGAAGAAUUGCUUUAACCCGGGAUGCAGAGGUUGUGGUGAGCUGAGAUCGUGUCAUUGCAUUCCAGCCUGGGCAACGAGAGUGAAACUCCGCCUCAAAAAAAUAAAAAUAAAAAAAAGAAGAAUGUAAAGAACUUACAAGGGCUCUUGACACAGUAUAAGCACUCUAUAAAUGCUAUUAUUUCUGAAGAGUGGUAACAAUGAAGGUGCCAUCAUGAAGACCGAGGGUACGAAUGCCAGGUGCUCCAUGUGGGGCCUGAUGCAUAAAGAGCUUUGGAUGAGGACUUCCUAUGUACACAGCACGUGAUGCUGUUUCUCAUUCAAUCCCUACUAACUCUAUGAGACAGAUACUAUCAUCCUUUACAUUUAAUAGAUGUGCAAACCAAAACUUAAGUUAAAAAAACUUGUCCAAGAUCAUAAGUUUACCAAGCAGCAGAGCUGGGGUUUAAACCUAGGUCCCGUGGCAGUAAAACUUGUGAAUGUAGUCAUUAACCAGCCCUCCAAUAAUAAUUGUUACUGUUAUUAUCUUAUUAAGUCCUCAUGACAAAGGUAGAUUUUCAUGCCCAUUUCACAGGAGAGGAAACUGAGUUGUAGGGACUUUAGUAACUUGUCUAAAGUCACAUACACAAUCCUCAUCCCUUUCUCAUAUACAAGGUUGAUAGGGAGGUGGUGACAUCUUUUGAGGUGAGCUGAGGGUGGCACAUGGGCCAGAAUUCGGGUUCUACCCUCCCUGUUACAGACCCGUGUUUUUCAUGAAGGCCCCUGACAAGAGCUGAACAGGCAUCCAUUGUCCUCCUCACUCCACCGGGAUGGUUGAGAGAAGCCCUCCUUUCUUCACUGAGGAACUUUGUACCAAGUCACUUGCAUGUCUAUGCUACCUACCCCCCACCUGAAUUCAGCAGGACAACACAAAGAAAGCAUGAAGAACUUUGCUGUGCUGCUUUUGGAAAAUCUGCUAACCCCUAGCACAACCAAUCCAUCUUAAGAAUGAAACAGCAGUGAUUCAGCAGUGAAACAGCAGUGACGGGAAAGAGUUGUACAAUUCCAGGGCACUCAAAAGUGAUGGAAGAAGGGCACUCAAAAGUUGAGGAUGAUGUAAGUGUUAGGUUAGUUUCUUCAGGACUUAGACUCUGAGAGGGAGAUGUACAUGCAGGAGGUUUACUGGGGUGACUUUAGAGUCCUCACCUGUUAGGGAUAAAGGCAGAGUUGAACUGAAAUACCGGGCCUCAGCCUAUCCCACGGGGAUAUCUCUGGAGCUGGAAUGGCCCAAGGGAAGGCCUUCCUUGACUAGUCACUGGAUGCAGGCUGUCCCUGAGGAGGGUGAGACCUUGGCGGGGAGCAUCCUCCAGCUGAGAGCAAUGCCUGGCCACUCAGCAGCGAGUCAUAACCCUCCAACCCUCCCAGCAUUGGGGGGUAUGAGUGUUUCCACUCUGAAAUGGGGAGCUAGGACUACAGCAUCCACCACAGCACAUCAGAUGGACUAUCAAGGUGUUGAACUUGGCAGCUUUGUAGGGAAACUAUAAAUCUUGUUUUAAGAAUAAAAUACCCUACUGGCAAAUCCAAAGACUGUUUGGGGAACAGUAAUGAUUUUCCUAAUGAUGGCAACUAGUCAAGAAGGCCCCAUAGUCCUGUCCAACCCUAAAAGUUUUCUAACUCAAUUAUUGGUUGAGAAUGGAAAAUAACAGAAAAGAAUCAAGGAGGUAUUGUGAAUGAAUUCUUUAGCACAGUGUUUCAUCCAUUUCCGCCUAUUUUGGAUUUCCUAUUUCCAACCUAUACCAAAUGUGCUUGCGUACACAUACACAUGACUAACCUUAAAUAUGGCUUCCUUUUAGAGACAUAAAAAGCUCCUGAAUCAACUCCAAUAACAUUUCCCCAGACUUUCUUUGAAAGGUGCAGAUGAAUGAGCUUGACAGAAAACUUUUUGCUUGAAAUUUUCCCUUUCUCAGAUUGCAUAAAUUUAAGGGGAAAGCCUGCCAAAUGUUCAAUGACGCUCAGCAUGGUGGCUUCUGGCAGGGACACGCUGUACCAGCAGCUAAAUGAAUGUUUCCCUGAAUCACUGACUUAUCUUCCUUUAUCACCUGCUCUGUUCCCCCUCUUCUGCACUGAGGCUUUGUAAAUGACGUGGGCAGGGGAAGAAAAAAAAAAAAACUUCAGAACCACAACAAGACACUGCAUAUUGAUGUUGGAUAUUGAGAAUUCAUCUGGUAUUAAUAGAUAAGAUUGCAGUGAGGAGCAUGAAAGCUAUCGAAAGCUAUCUUCAAGCCUAAAGUGGACAAGAUCAGUCAAGCCCCAACGCUACAGAGUAUCUGGACAUUUUGGGCUGUAGCUUUGUGUUAGGAAACUUCUUGUUUGUGUUAGGAUUUACCAGAUGAAUUGGGUCAUAUAAUUCCCUUUUUGAAACCCUUAAAAUGAACCUCAAACCGCCUAGCCUGGCCUAUUAAUAAUAGGUUCUACUGAGCCUGCCCCCCGGCCACCUGCCUUCCAACCUCAUCCUAAACUGUGCUCACCCUCACUCCCUGUACCUCAGCCAUACCAACAAAAUCCCUCAGGCUCCUCCAACACGAUAAGACAAAGCCUUUCCAGAGUCGCAGCCUUCAGCCCUGCUGCCUGGAAUGCUUUUCUCGCAGCAUUUCCAUGGCCAGCCUCCAGGUCGGCUUAAAUGUUCCCUCUUUAGAGAGGCCUUCCCCGACUGUGAUCCUCCACUUUUAUUCUCGAUCCUCAUAGUAUACUUUUGGCUUCCUUCACUGUAUUCUCCUAUGAGAAUUUGUGGCCAUUAUUUGCUCAUUUCUUAUCUCUUUUCCAUGCUAGACUCCUCUCCCUGAAAUGGCAGGGACAAAAGCUACCUUGUUCACCACUGAAAACCCAGUGUCAGGCACACAGUUUAUUUGUUAUUUGAAUGAACAGUGUUUCACCCAGAGCCUAAGUCCUGUGCUCUCUCAUUUAAAAAGGAACACUUAUUUACACAUUUGUAAAUGAAGGCUUUGAAUAUAUGGAAAUAUCUCACAGACAUGAGAUGGGAGACUUAUGUUUCUAGUAUGAGGACAUUCUAAACCCCCGUCACAACUAAAGGUUCCUUCUUAUCCAUUCUCAGGGAGAACAGCUUUUGUUUUAGUUGAGGUAUAACUUACUGUGGUAUAUGGCACACAUUUUAACUGAAUUUUACAUGUGUAUACAUCCAUAUGGAGAUCAGGAUCGAGAUGUAGAAUAUUUAUGGCACCUCGGAAGGCUUCCACAUGAGAGGGUUCCUCCCAGGCAGUACCAUCUCAGAGGUAGCCACUGUACUGUGACAGCUCCCCCACCAGGUUCCCAAAGGGUGUAAGUCUGUUGCCUGAACUCUGAGGGCCAGGCAGUGAGCCAAGACCCUGGUGCCGAGCUAAGGAGCAGGUGUCCCUGAGAACCUAAACAUCCCGGAGAGUAUCUGAGGACCUACCAAGAAAAACAGUUGCAUUUUUCAAACAUGUAGGCAAAGAGCUAGAAAAUUAGCUUAAAAGCAGUUUAUGGAUGGGAGGCAGGGCGGAUCUCUAGAGCUAUCCUGCCGCCAUCCUGGAGUGCCCUGUAUGUAAGUCCCAAUAAACUCAUCUACUCCUCA
Molecule: non-coding RNA, 5807 nt
Organism: Macaca mulatta (Rhesus monkey)
Lineage: Eukaryota; Metazoa; Chordata; Mammalia; Primates; Cercopithecidae
Source: RefSeq, a predicted model, not a curated record